UGCGUUAUAGCAUAAUUGGUAUUGCGGUUGUUUGCAAAACUUCUUAUAUAGGUUCAAAUCCUAUUAACGCAU
RNAcentral lists this transfer RNA (72 nucleotides) under Oscarella sp. violet. RNAcentral describes it as "tRNA-Cys". It matches the Rfam family "tRNA". Rfam says of the family: Transfer RNA (tRNA) molecules are approximately 80 nucleotides in length. Their secondary structure includes four short double-helical elements and three loops (D, anti-codon, and T loops). Further hydrogen bonds mediate the characteristic L-shaped molecular structure. tRNAs have two regions of fundamental functional importance: the anti-codon, which is responsible for specific mRNA codon recognition, and the 3' end, to which the tRNAs corresponding amino acid is attached (by aminoacyl-tRNA synthetases). tRNAs cope with the degeneracy of the genetic code in two manners: having more than one tRNA (with a specific anti-codon) for a particular amino acid; and 'wobble' base-pairing, i.e. permitting non-standard base-pairing at the 3rd anti-codon position. RNAcentral also lists the same sequence under 1 other name. Lineage: Eukaryota; Metazoa; Porifera; Homoscleromorpha; Homosclerophorida; Oscarellidae. The record is from RNAcentral.